UUAAGCAUAUCCAAAAGCGGAGGAAAAGAAACCAACAGGGAUUGCCCUAGUAACGGCGAGUGAAGCGGCAACAGCUCAAAUUUGAAAUCUGGCGUCUUUGGCGUCCGAGUUGUAAUUUGCAGAGGGCGCUUUGGCGUUGGCAGCGGUCCAAGUUCCUUGGAACAGGACGUCACAGAGGGUGAGAAUCCCGUACGUGGUCGCUGGCCUUCGCCGUGUAAAGCCCCUUCGACGAGUCGAGUUGUUUGGGAAUGCAGCUCUAAAUGGGAGGUAAAUUUCUUCUAAAGCUAAAUACUGGCCAGAGACCGAUAGCGCACAAGUAGAGUGAUCGAAAGAUGAAAAGCACUUUGGAAAGAGAGUUAAAAAGCACGUGAAAUUGUUGAAAGGGAAGCGCUUGCAGCCAGACUUGCCUGUAGUUGCUCAUCCGGGUUUUUACCCGGUGCACUCUUCUGCGGGCAGGCCAGCAUCAGUUUGGGCGGUUGGAUAAAGGUCUCUGUCAUGUACCUCUCUUCGGGGAGAACUUAUAGGGGAGACGACAUGCAACCAGCCUGGACUGAGGUCCGCGCAUCUGCUAGGAUGCUGGCGUAAUGGCUGUAAGCGGCCCGUCUUGAAACACGGACCAAGGAGUCUAACAUCUAUGCGAGUGUUUGGGUGUCAAGCCCGAGCGCGUAAUGAAAGUGAACGGAGGUGGGAACCUUUCGGGGUGCACCAUCGACCGAUCCUGAUGUCUUCGGAUGGAUUUGAGUAAGAGCAUAGCUGUUGGGACCCGAAAGAUGGUGAACUAUGCUUGAAUAGGGUGAAGCCAGAGGAAACUCUGGUGGAGGCUCGCAGCGGUUCUGACGUGCAAAUCGAUCGUCAAAUUUGGGCAUAGGGGCGAAAGACUAAUCGAACUAUCUAGUAGCUGGUUCCUGCCGAAGUUUCCCUCAGGAUAGCAGUAACGUUUUCAGUUUUAUGAGGUAAAGCGAAUGAUUAGAGGCCUGGGGGUUGAAACAACCUUCACCUAUUCUCAAACUUUAAAUAUGUAAGAAGUCCUUGUUACUUGAUUGAACGUGGACACUUGAAUGUAUCGUUACUAGUGGGCCAUUUUUGGUAAGCAGAACUGGCGAUGCGGGAUGAACCGAACGUGGGGUUAAGGUGCCAGAAUAUACGCUCAUCAGACACCA
This 1160-nucleotide ribosomal RNA is filed under the name Faurelina indica. RNAcentral describes it as "eukaryotic LSU rRNA". It matches the Rfam family "Eukaryotic large subunit ribosomal RNA", at positions 34 to 1214 of the family's 3401-position model. The record is from RNAcentral. Lineage: Eukaryota; Fungi; Ascomycota; Sordariomycetes; Microascales; Chadefaudiellaceae.